Molecule: ribosomal RNA, 253 nt
Filed under: uncultured archaeon
Lineage: Archaea
Description: partial 16S ribosomal RNA
Rfam family: Archaeal small subunit ribosomal RNA
Source: RNAcentral
UCCCCGCAGUCCAAGUCGCAACCACAUUUGUUGGGUCUAAAACAUCCGUAGCUAGCUUCGUAAGUCUCGUGUGAAAUCUCGUCUCUCAAGGACGAACGUGCACGAGAUACUGUGAAGCUUGAGACCGGGAGACGCAGUGAGUACGCAUCGGGUACCGGUAAAAUGGGUUGAUCCAAUGCGGACUACCAAUCGCGAAGGCACGCUGCGAGCACGGAUCUGACAGUGAGGGAUGAAGGCUAGGGGCGCAAAGUGG